AGAUUGAACGCUGGCGGCAGGCCUAACGCAUGCAAGUCGAGCGGCAGCACGGGUACUUGUACCUGGUGGCGAGCGGCGGACGGGUGAGUAAUGCCUAGGAAUCUGCCUGGUAGUGGGGGGAUAACGCUCGGAAACGGACGCUAAUACCGCAUACGUCCUACGGGAGAAAGCAGGGGACCUUCGGGCCUUGCGCUAUCAGAUGAGCCUAGGUCGGAUUAGCUAGUUGGUGAGGUAAUGGCUCACCAAGGCGACGAUCCGUAACUGGUCUGAGAGGAUGAUCAGUCACACUGGAACUGAGACACGGUCCAGACUCCUACGGGAGGCAGCAGUGGGGAAUAUUGGACAAUGGGCGAAAGCCUGAUCCAGCCAUGCCGCGUGUGUGAAGAAGGUCUUCGGAUUGUAAAGCAUUUAAGUGGAGAGGCAUUAACCUAAUACGUUGGUGUCUUGACGUUACCGACAGAAUAAGCACCGACUAACUC
RNAcentral lists this ribosomal RNA (479 nucleotides) under uncultured soil bacterium. RNAcentral describes it as "bacterial SSU rRNA". It matches the Rfam family "Bacterial small subunit ribosomal RNA", at positions 26 to 503 of the family's 1533-position model. The record is from RNAcentral.